CGGAGUUAUCCCUCAGGGAGUGAAAAGAGAAAAAAGAAAGUGCAUGAAAAUGAACAGCAGCAACAGCAGUCAGGUAACUCUCCUCUCCGGGUGGGAGAGUGGGAGGGACGGGGCUAGUCCGUGUUUGACCUACAUAACAGGGCGGUGAGCCCUGGGUGAACCCCGGAUGGUCUCCGUGUGCUAUGCUUAAGUUCCUAACAAGCAGCACGGAGUCCAGUCAGUCAGCCAGUGGAGGGACAGACCCAGAUAAGAGAGGCACAGAUGAGCCACCUUCAACCAGCAGCAGCACAGAUCCAGUACAGCCACCGUUAAGUACCUGUGUACAGCAAGCAUCAGAAGCUAGCUCAGACCCUAAAGCAACAGUCUCUGCUCCACCAAAUGAUCCAGCAGACUGGCCCCCAGUCUUAACGGACUGUAUGCGGACUGAGUUAGUGCGCAGAGGUCCAUUCAAGCCAGGAGUGGAUUUUUCUUACCCCAAAGACAAGUCCAGAAGAGGGUUCCAUCCAGGAUUAUUACAGAGACGACUGUCAAAUGGUGAAAAGAUUACCAGGAGCUGGCUUUCACACUUAGUGAAAAACAACGCUGUGUAAUGUUUUUGCUGUAAACUCUUUUCCACAAAAAACACAAAAUAAUAGGAGAAGGUGUUAAUGACUGGUCAAAUAUCAACGCCAUUCUGAAGCAGCAUGAGGGUAGUCCUAAACACACAAGCAAUAUGAUUAAGUGGAGAGAACUUGAUCUGGAAGUCGUGGAAAAACACUACACCACAUAGAAAUGACAGCUUUGGAGGCUGAAAGAAAGAGAUGGCGAGAUGUCCUUACACGCCUCAUAAGUAUCACACAGUCUCUAGCUGAAAGAAACCUAGCAUUCAGAGGUUCAUCAGAUAAGCUCUUCCAACCAGAUAAUGGAAACUUUCUAAAAGAGGUUGAAUUAUUAGCUAAAUUUGACCCUGUUUUGGAAAAUCAUGUCAGCAGCAUUAAAGACGGAGAAACGCAUGCUCAUUACCUUAGUAAAGACAUACAGAAUGAGCUGAUACAGCUUGUGAGUGACAGGAUUCUCACAACUAUUGUGACUCAAGUGAGAGACUCAAAAUACUUCUCCAUUAUCUUGGACUGUACACCUAACAUUAGUCACCAGGAGCAGAUGUCCAUUAUCGUCAGAAGUUUGGCUUUAAAGGGACAGCCAGAGAUAAAGGAGCACUUCCUCAGCUUUGUGAAUGUUGAUGCUACAACUGGCUUAAGUCUGUCUACAGUCAUCUUGGACAAGCUGACUGAUCUGAAAAUUCCAUUUGACAAUAAGGGCAAGCCUAUGAAAAUGGGGCCAAUAUGAAAGGUAAACACCAAGGAGUACAAGCCAGACUGUUGAGAAUGAAUCCCAGAGCUGUGUUUGUUCCAUGUGGUGCACACACAUUAAACCUCGUCAUUGCAGAUGCUGCCAAAUCCUCCAAAGAUGCUGUUGUUUUUUUUGGCUAUGUACAAAAGCUGUUCACCUUUUUUUCUGCUGGCACACAAAGGUGGAAUAUCUUGAAACAACAUGUGAACAUAACAGUGAAGUCAUGGACUGACACAAGAUGGGAGAGCAGGCUUCAAAGUGUCCAUGCAGUCAGAUAUCAGGCCUCUGAGAUUCGAGAAGCCUUACUGGAAGCCAGGCAGAAGAUUAAUGAUCCUGUGGCGAAAGUGGAGGCACAGUCACUUGCAGAGGAAGUUGGUUCUUACUGCUUCUUAAUUUGCUGUGUAGUGUGGUGUGAGAUACUGUCAAGAACAAAUACAGUGAACAAGCUCCUCCAAUCUGCUUCAAUGCAGCUUGACGUAGCUGUGCAGUUAAUCUCAAAUGCAAAAGACAACAGCCCGAAGCAUUUGUGAGGAAAUGAAUGCAGAAGCUGUUUUGAAGGACAAGAGGCUGAGAACCAGCAAAAAGCAUUUUAGCUACGAAGCACCUGAUGAGCCAGUGGCUGAUGCACUGCGGAAUCUUGAGGUCAACUUCUUCAACAUUGUGGUUGACUCCACAAUAGCAUCCAUUGAUGAACGAUUUGAAACUCUGAACCAGGUGAAGACUAAAUAUGGAGUAGUGCUGAACUUCAGCACUGCAUGUCAGAUGUCCAGUGGCUCCUUAAAGGCUCAGUGUAUGGAACUGGAGUAAACUCCAGUAUGUAGUAGUACUAAAUGUACCUGACCUACCAUCAGCUAAUAUGACUGCCUUUGAGCUGCUUUCUUUCCUUUGUGAGAAAAAUCGGGAGGAACUCUAUCCUAACCUUUGGGUAGCCCUGAGAAUUGCUGUCACUCCGCCUGUGACAGUCGCCUCAGCUGAGAGGAGCUUCAGCAAGUUAAAAAUGAUCAAAAACUAUCUGAGAUCUUCCAUGUCCCAGGAACGUCUGAGUGGUUUGGCCCUCAGGAGCAUUACCAUGAUGUGGGGAAGCAAAUAUCAUAUGAUGACAUUAUUGAUGAUUUUGCAUCCAGAAAGUGCAGAAAGGGACACUUUUAAUGGUGAGUAAUUUGUUACACAUUUAGUUCGAUUUGAUUUGGUCUGUUGAGAUAUGUGCAUUAUGUACUCAGUUAUAUAUGUGAUGUAAUGCUGUACGUAGUAUAUAUAUAUGUGUAUGACACAUGGUGGCGCUAAGCUACAGACUAUAAAAGGGUGAACUGCGUUAUGAUAGUUCAGUAGUUGGUGAAGUAGCUCUGACCGUGAGACUGAUGUGUCAGAUCAGCCUGAAUAAAUACGCCAAGAACGGCUAAAGAUA
Molecule: long non-coding RNA, 2734 nt
Organism: Eleginops maclovinus (Patagonian blennie)
Lineage: Eukaryota; Metazoa; Chordata; Actinopteri; Perciformes; Eleginopidae
Exons: 2
Source: RefSeq, a predicted model, not a curated record